GACGAACGCUGGCGGCGUGCUUAACACAUGCAAGUCGAACGGAAAGGCCCAGCUUGCUGGGUGCUCGAGUGGCGAACGGGUGAGUAACACGUGGGUGAUCUGCCUCUAACUUCGGGAUAAGCUUGGGAAACUGGGUCUAAUACCGGAUAGUACAAUCGUUUAGUGUCGGUUGUGGAAAGUUUUUUCGGUUAGGGAUGAGCCCGCGGCCUAUCAGCUUGUUGGUGGGGUAAUGGCCUACCAAGGCGUCGACGGGUAGCCGGCCUGAGAGGGUGGACGGCCACAUUGGGACUGAGAUACGGCCCAGACUCCUACGGGAGGCAGCAGUGGGGAAUAUUGCACAAUGGGCGCAAGCCUGAUGCAGCGACGCCGCGUGGGGGAUGACGGCCUUCGGGUUGUAAACCUCUUUCGACAGGGACGAAGCUUUGGUGACGGUACCUGUAGAAGAAGCACCGGCUAACUACGUG
This 464-nucleotide ribosomal RNA is filed under the name uncultured bacterium. Its description in RNAcentral is "partial 16S ribosomal RNA". It matches the Rfam family "Bacterial small subunit ribosomal RNA", at positions 28 to 507 of the family's 1533-position model. The record is from RNAcentral.